GGGCGCAUAGCUCAGCUGGCAGAGCGCUACUUUCACAGAGUAGAUGUCACAGGUUCGAGUCCUGUUGCGCCCA
This 73-nucleotide transfer RNA is filed under the name Candidatus Coatesiibacteriota bacterium. RNAcentral describes it as "Candidatus Coatesbacteria bacterium tRNA-Val". It matches the Rfam family "tRNA". From Rfam's summary of the family: Transfer RNA (tRNA) molecules are approximately 80 nucleotides in length. Their secondary structure includes four short double-helical elements and three loops (D, anti-codon, and T loops). Lineage: Bacteria; Candidatus Coatesiibacteriota. The record is from RNAcentral. RNAcentral also lists the same sequence under 1 other name.